AUUGAACGCUGGCGGCAGGCCUAACACAUGCAAGUCGAGCGGAUGAAGGGAGCUUGCUCCUGGAUUCAGCGGCGGACGGGUGAGUAAUGCCUAGGAAUCUGCCUGGUAGUGGGGGAUAACGUCCGGAUACGGGAGCUAAUACCGCAUACGUCAUGAGUGAGAAAGUGGGGGAUCUUCGGACCUCACGCUAUCAGAUGAGCAUAGGUCGGAUUAGCUAGUUGGUGGGGUAAAGGCCUACCAAGGCGACGAUCCGUAACUGGUCUGAGAGGAUGAUCAGUCACACUGGAACUGAGACACGGUCCAGACUCCUAAGGGAGGCAGCAGUGGGGAAUAUUAGACAAGGGGCGAAAGGCUGAUCCAGCCAUGCGGCGUGUGUGAAGAAGGUCUUCGGAUUGUAAAGCACUGUAAGUUGGGAGGAAGGGAAGUAAGUUAAUACCUGGCUGUUUUGACGUUACCAACAGAAUAAGCACCGGCUAACUUCGUG
Molecule: ribosomal RNA, 484 nt
Filed under: uncultured bacterium
Lineage: Bacteria
Description: partial 16S ribosomal RNA
Rfam family: Bacterial small subunit ribosomal RNA
Source: RNAcentral